Molecule: ribosomal RNA, 775 nt
Filed under: uncultured Neocallimastigales
Lineage: Eukaryota; Fungi; Neocallimastigomycota; Neocallimastigomycetes; Neocallimastigales
Description: partial large subunit ribosomal RNA
Rfam family: Eukaryotic large subunit ribosomal RNA
Source: RNAcentral
GUACACGCUGUGACUAGUAUAUCAAUAAGCGGAGGAAAAGAAACUAACAAGGAUUCCCCUAGUAACGGCGAGUGAAGCGGGAAGAGCUCAAAUUUGAAAUCUUAAAGGGUUUCCCUUUACGAAUUGUAGUUUAAAGAAGUGUUUUCUGUUGAGGUUUUGGUAAAAGUUCUUUGGAAUAGGACAUCAUAGAGGGUGAGAAUCCCGUAUUUGACCUUUACUUUCAACUUUGUGAUACACUUUCAAAGAGUCGGAUUGUUUGGGAAUGCAGUCCAAAAUGGGUGGUAAAUUUCAUCUAAAGCUAAAUAUUGGCGAGAGACCGAUAGCGAACAAGUACCGUGAGGGAAAGAUGAAAAGAACUUUGAAAAGAGAGUUAAACAGUACGUGGAAAUUGUCAAAAGGGAAGCGUUUGACACCAGUGUUGUUUUUCUGAAAAUCAAUUAAAGAACUGUUUAUGCUAAGUUGUUUAGACUUUAUCAGCUAACUGCUUAGUUUUGAGCUUUUCUUUAAUGCACUUUUCAGUUAACAAGUCAACAUCAAUUUCUUUUGCUGUAAAAAAGCUUGAGGAAGGUGGCUUGAGAUUCGUCUUAAGUGUUUAUAGCCUCUUGCCUAUGCAGUCGGAGAGAUUGAGGUCUGCAGCGUAGAUCCUUCGGGGCUAAAUGCAUUUGUGCUAAGUUAUAACAUUUUAUAGACAACUUGUUGACUAUGAUUUGUCUUGUAGCUUACUCGCUUAUGUUAUUUUACCUACGCUUAGGAUGUUGACGCGCGUGUGUGCGUG